Non-coding RNA from Candidatus Scalindua brodae, 74 nucleotides. The record is from Rfam. NCBI's taxonomy places the organism in Bacteria, Pseudomonadati, Planctomycetota, Candidatus Brocadiia, Candidatus Brocadiales, Candidatus Scalinduaceae.
GGGCCCAUAGCUCAGUUGGUUAGAGCAACGGACUCAUAAUCCGUGUGUCCUAGGUUCGAGUCCUAGUGGGCCCA